UAUGUAAUGUGUGUGUGUGUGUGUGUGUGUGUGUGUGUGUGUGUGUGUGUGUACACACACACACACACACACACACACACACACACACACACACACACACACAC
This is a small nucleolar RNA of Pseudophryne corroboree (corroboree frog), 104 nucleotides long. RefSeq annotates it as small nucleolar RNA SNORA23. Lineage: Eukaryota; Metazoa; Chordata; Amphibia; Anura; Myobatrachidae. The record is from RefSeq and is a predicted model, not a curated record. The transcript has a single exon.